AUGGCGGCCCCGAUGUUGAACCAGCUCAACACCCUCGUGGCCAACAUGUUCGCCGCGGGUUUGCUGGACGAUCAGUUCCAGGAGCUGCAGAUGCUCCAGGAAGGGAGCGCCCCAGACUUCAUCGACAAGGUUGUCACGCUCUUCUCUGAGGAUGGCGAGCGUAUCAUCGGCGAGAUCGCCAAGCUGCUGGACAAGCCAUGUGUGGACUAUCACAAGGUGAGCCGUUUUGUGCUUGAACUCAAGGGAAGCAGUGCAUGUAUUGGUGCUCAGAGAGUGAAGAACAGUUGCAUUCAGUUCCAUCAGUGUUGUCAGGAGAAGAGCAGAGAUGGGCCAGUACCUUGUAUCAUUAUGUCACACUAUUGUAUUUUCGAUCAUUUUGUUACUCAAAUCUCAUACUGA
Molecule: ribosomal RNA, 399 nt
Filed under: Triticum aestivum (bread wheat)
Lineage: Eukaryota; Viridiplantae; Streptophyta; Magnoliopsida; Poales; Poaceae
Description: partial small subunit ribosomal RNA
Source: RNAcentral